RNAcentral lists this ribosomal RNA (305 nucleotides) under uncultured bacterium. RNAcentral describes it as "bacterial SSU rRNA". It matches the Rfam family "Bacterial small subunit ribosomal RNA", at positions 29 to 333 of the family's 1533-position model. The record is from RNAcentral.
ACGAACGCUGGCGGCGUGCUUAACACAUGCAAGUCGAGCGGUAAGGCCCUUUCGGGGGUACGACGAGCGGCGAACGGGUGAGUAACACGUGGGUGACCUGCCCUCAGCUCUGGGAUAAGCCUGGGAAACCGGGUCUAAUACCGGAUAUGACUCCAUGACGCAUGUUGUGGGGUGAAAGCCUUGUGCGGCUGAGGAUGGGCCCNCGUCUGGAUUAGCUUGUGGUGAGGUAAUGGCGUCACCAAGGCGACGAAUCAGUAGCUGGUCUGAGAGGAUGAUCAGCCACAUUGGGACUGAGACACGGCCCA